RNAcentral lists this ribosomal RNA (809 nucleotides) under uncultured bacterium. RNAcentral's name for it is "bacterial SSU rRNA". It matches the Rfam family "Bacterial small subunit ribosomal RNA", at positions 8 to 804 of the family's 1533-position model. The record is from RNAcentral.
AGAGUUUGAUCAUGGCUCAGGACGAACGCUGGCGGCGUGCUUAACACAUGCAAGUCGAGCGGUAAGUGCCCUUUCGGGGUGUACACGAGCGGCGAACGGGUGAGUAACACGUGGGUAAUCGACCCUCGGCACCGGGAUAGCCCGAGGAAACUCGGAUUAAUACCGGAUAGCCCCUCCGACUCUCGAGUCGGUCGGAAAAGGUAGCUUAGGCCUCUGGCCGGGGACGAGCCCGCGGCGGAUUAGCUUGUUGGUGGGGUAACGGCCUACCAAGGCAACGAUCCGUAGCUGGUCUGAGAGGACGAUCAGCCACACUGGGACUGAGACACGGCCCAGACUCCUACGGGAGGCAGCAGUGGGGAAUCUUGCGCAAUGGGCGAAAGCCUGACGCAGCGACGCCGCGUGAGGGAAGAAGGCCUUCGGGUUGUAAACCUCUUUCAGGAGGGACGAAGCUACUCGGGUGAAUAGCCCAGAGGGUGGCGGUACCUCCAGAAGAAGCCCCGGCUAACUACGUGCCAGCAGCCGCGGUAAUACGUAGGGGGCAAGCGUUGUCCGGAUUUACUGGGCGUAAAGAGCGUGUAGGCGGCCAGACAGGUCUGUUGUGAAAACUGGAGGCUUAACCUCCAGACGUCGACAGAAACCGUUUGGCUAGAGUCCGGAAGAGGAGAGUGGAAUUCCUGGUGUAGCGGUGAAAUGCGCAGAUAUCAGGAAGAACACCAAUGGCGAAAGCAGCUCUCUGGGACGGUACUGACGCUGAGACGCGAAAGCGUGGGGAGCGAACCGGAUUAGAUACCCGGGUAGUCCACACCCUA